UACGUAGGGUGCGAGCGUUGUCCGGAAUUAUUGGGCGUAAAGGGCUCGUAGGCGGUUUGGCGCGUCGGGAGUGAAAACUCAGGGCUUAACCCUGAGCCUGCUUCCGAUACGGGCAGACUAGAGGUAUGCAGGGGAGAACGGAAUUCCUGGUGUAGCGGUGAAAUGCGCAGAUAUCAGGAGGAACACCGGUGGCGAAGGCGGGUCUCUGGGCAGUAACUGACGCUGAGGAGCGAAAGCGUGGGGAGCGAACAGG
Molecule: ribosomal RNA, 253 nt
Filed under: uncultured bacterium
Lineage: Bacteria
Description: partial 16S ribosomal RNA
Rfam family: Bacterial small subunit ribosomal RNA
Source: RNAcentral